AAUAUUGGACAAUGGGGGCAACCCUGAUCCAGCCAUGCCGCGUGUGUGAAGAAGGUCUUCGGAUUGUAAAGCACUUUAAGUUGGGAGGAAGGGCUUUAGGUUAAUACCCUGAAGUUUUGACGUUACCAACAGAAUAAGCACCGGCUAACUCUGUGCCAGCAGCCGCGGUAAUACAGAGGGUGCAAACGUUAACCGGAAUUACUGGGCGUAAAGGCCGCGUAGGUGGGUCAAUAAAAAUGGUGUGAAAUUCCCGGGCUUAACCUGGGAAAUGCUUUUAAAACCUCUUAGCCAGAGUAAUGUAGAGGGUAGUGGAAUUUCCUGUGUAGGGGGGAAAUGCGUAAGAAAAGGAAGGAACACCAGUGGGGAAGGCGACUACCUGGAAUGAAACUGAAACUGAGGUGCGAAAGCGUGGGGAGCAAAC
This 421-nucleotide ribosomal RNA is filed under the name uncultured bacterium. RNAcentral's name for it is "partial 16S ribosomal RNA". It matches the Rfam family "Bacterial small subunit ribosomal RNA", at positions 360 to 773 of the family's 1533-position model. The record is from RNAcentral.